The sequence is a ribosomal RNA, 824 nucleotides long. It matches the Rfam family "Eukaryotic small subunit ribosomal RNA", at positions 471 to 1254 of the family's 1831-position model.
CGAAAAAUAACGAUACGGGACUCAUCCGAGGCCCCGUAAUCGGAAUGAGUACACUCUAAACCCUUUAACGAGGAUCAAUUGGAGGGCAAGUCUGGUGCCAGCAGCCGCGGUAAUUCCAGCUCCAAUAGCGUAUAUUAAAGUUGUUGCGGUUAAAAAGCUCGUAGUCGAAUUUGUGUCCCGCGCCGCCGGUUCAUCGCUCGCGGUGUCAACUGGCGUGUCCGCGGGACGUCCUGCCGGUGGGCUUAGCCCCUGUGGGCGGCCCAAUCUCAAUCCCACCGCGGUGCUCUUCGCUGAGUGUCGAGGUGGGCCGGCACGUUUACUUUGAACAAAUUAGAGUGCUUAAAGCAGGCUAAAACAUCGCCUGAAUACUGUGUGCAUGGAAUAAUGGAAUAGGACCUCGGUUCUAUUUUGUUGGUUUUCGGAACCCCGAGGUAAUGAUUAAUAGGAACGGAUGGGGGCAUUCGUAUUGCGACGUUAGAGGUGAAAUUCUUGGAUCGUCGCAAGACGGACAGAAGCGAAAGCAUUUGCCAAAAACGCUUUCAUUGAUCAAGAACGAAAGUUAGAGGUUCGAAGGCGAUCAGAUACCGCCCUAGUUCUAACCAUAAACGAUGCCAGCUAGCGAUCCGCCGACGUUCCUCCGAUGACUCGGCGGGCAGCUUCCGGGAAACCAAAGCUUUUGGGUUCCGGGGGAAGUAUGGUUGCAAAGCUGAAACUUAAAGGAAUUGACGGAAGGGCACCACCAGGAGUGGAGCCUGCGGCUUAAUUUGACUCAACACGGGAAACCUCACCAGGCCCGGACACCGGAAGGAUUGACAGAUUGAGAG